CUACAAGAGAACUUGCAAAACAAGUGGAUAAAGAAUUUUUUGAAUCUGCUCCUGGUCUGGAUACACUGUGUGUUUAUGGUGGUGUACCCAUUUCACACCAGAUGAGCUCCCUUGAUAGAGGAGUAGAUAUUAUUGUGGGUACAACACUGUGUGUUUAUGGUGGUGUCCCCAUUUCACGCCAGAUGAGCUCCCUUGAUAGAGGAGUAGAUAUUAUUGUGGGUACACCAGGUCGGGUUAUUGAUCUGCUGAAGAGGGGUGCUUUGAAUUUGUCAGAGAUCCAGUUUGUUGUUCUAGAUGAAGCUGAUCAAAUGCUUAAUG
RNAcentral lists this long non-coding RNA (318 nucleotides) under Nicotiana benthamiana. RNAcentral describes it as "long non-coding RNA (NBEN_LNC030098)". The record is from RNAcentral. Lineage: Eukaryota; Viridiplantae; Streptophyta; Magnoliopsida; Solanales; Solanaceae.